Molecule: transfer RNA, 72 nt
Filed under: Camelus bactrianus (Bactrian camel)
Lineage: Eukaryota; Metazoa; Chordata; Mammalia; Artiodactyla; Camelidae
Also listed under: 1 other name
Rfam family: tRNA
About the family: Transfer RNA (tRNA) molecules are approximately 80 nucleotides in length. Their secondary structure includes four short double-helical elements and three loops (D, anti-codon, and T loops).
Source: Rfam by way of RNAcentral
GAGGGUAUAGCUCAGUGGUAGAGCACGUGCUUAGCAUGCAUGAGGUCCUGGGUUCAAUCCCCAGUAACCCCA